This 422-nucleotide ribosomal RNA is filed under the name uncultured bacterium. RNAcentral's name for it is "bacterial SSU rRNA". It matches the Rfam family "Bacterial small subunit ribosomal RNA", at positions 355 to 774 of the family's 1533-position model. The record is from RNAcentral.
UGAGGAAUAUUGGUCAAUGGACGAGAGUCUGAACCAGCCAUGCCGCGUGAAGGAUGAAGGCGCUCAGCGUUGUAAACUGCUUUUAUCUAGGAAGAAUGAUCGGAGUGCGCUCUGAUGUGACGGUACUAGAGGAAUAAGCACCGGCUAACUCCGUGCCAGCAGCCGCGGUAAUACGGAGGGUGCAAGCGUUAUCCGGAUUUACUGGGUUUAAAGGGUGCGUAGGUGGAUUUGUAAGUCAGUGGUGAAAUCUCCGAGCUUAACUCGGAAACUGCCAUUGAUACUAUAAGUCUUGAAUUAUCUGGAGGUAAGCGGAAGAUGUAAUGUAGCGGUGAAAUGCUUAGAUAUGACAUAGAACACCAAUUGCGAAGGCAGCUUACUACGGAUUGAUUGACACUGAGGCACGAAAGCGUGGGGAUCAAACA